This 495-nucleotide ribosomal RNA is filed under the name uncultured bacterium. RNAcentral's name for it is "partial 16S ribosomal RNA". It matches the Rfam family "Bacterial small subunit ribosomal RNA", at positions 28 to 507 of the family's 1533-position model. The record is from RNAcentral.
GACGAACGCUGGCGGCGUGCCUAAUACAUGCAAGUAGAACGCUGAAGGAGGAGCUUGCUCUUCUGGAUGAGUUGCGAACGGGUGAGUAACGCGUAGGUAACCUGCCUGGUAGCGGGGGAUAACUAUUGGAAACGAUAGCUAAUACCGCAUAACAGUAGAUGUUGCAUGACAUUUACUUAAAAGGUGCAAUUGCAUCACUACCAGAUGGACCUGCGUUGUAUUAGCUAGUUGGUGGGGUAACGGCCCACCAAGGCGACGAUACAUAGCCGACCUGAGAGGGUGAUCGGCCACACUGGGACUGAGACACGGCCCAGACUCCUACGGGAGGCAGCAGUAGGGAAUCUUCGGCAAUGGACGGAAGUCUGACCGAGCAACGCCGCGUGAGUGAAGAAGGGUUUCGGAUCGUAAAGCUCUGUUGUAAGAGAAGAACGAGUGUGAGAGUGGAAAGUUCACACUGUGACGGUAUCUUACCAGAAAGGGACGGCUAACUACGUG